CAACCUGCCCAUCACUUGGGGAUAACCUUGCGAAAGUAAGACUAAUACCCAAUGACGUCCAUAGAAGACAUCUGAAAUGGAUUAAAGAUUUAUCGGUGAUGGAUGGGGAUGCGUCUGAUUAGCUUGUUGGCGGGGUAACGGCCCACCAAGGCGACGAUCAGUAGGGGUUCUGAGAGGAAGGUCCCCCACAUUGGAACUGAGACACGGUCCAAACUCCUACGGGAGGCAGCAGUGAGGAAUAUUGGUCAAUGGGCGAGAGCCUGAACCAGCCAAGUAGCGUGCAGGAUGACGGCCCUAUGGGUUGUAAACUGCCUUUAUAAGGGAAUAAAGUGGGAGUCGUGACUCCUUUUGCAUGUACCUUAUGAAUAAGGACCGGCUAAUUCCGUGCCAGCAGCCGCGGUAAUACGGAAGGUCCGGGCGUUAUCCGGAUUUAUUGGGUUUAAAGGGAGCGUAGGCCGGAGAUUAAGCGUGUUGUGAAAUGUAGACGCUCAACGUCUGCACUGCAGCGCGAACUGGUUUCCUUGAGUACGCACAAAGUGGGCGGAAUUCGUGGUGUAGCGGUGAAAUGCUUAGAUAUCACGAAGAACUCCGAUUG
This 595-nucleotide ribosomal RNA is filed under the name uncultured Bacteroidota bacterium. RNAcentral describes it as "bacterial SSU rRNA". It matches the Rfam family "Bacterial small subunit ribosomal RNA", at positions 122 to 715 of the family's 1533-position model. Lineage: Bacteria; Pseudomonadati; Bacteroidota. The record is from RNAcentral.